UACGUAGGGUGCGAGCGUUAAUCGGAAUUACUGGGCGUAAAGUGUGCGCAGGCGGCCGAGCAAGUCGAGUGUGAAAGCCCCGAGCUUAACUUGGGAACUGCGCUCGAAACUACUUGGCUAGAGUGUGGCAGAGGGAGGUGGAAUUCCACGUGUAGCGGUGAAAUGCGUAGAGAUGUGGAGGAACACCCGUAGCGAAGGCGGCACUCUGGGCCGAUACUGACACUGAGGAGCGAAAGCGUGGGGAGCGAACAGG
RNAcentral lists this ribosomal RNA (253 nucleotides) under uncultured bacterium. RNAcentral's name for it is "partial 16S ribosomal RNA". It matches the Rfam family "Bacterial small subunit ribosomal RNA", at positions 524 to 776 of the family's 1533-position model. The record is from RNAcentral.